RNA transcript from Rhea pennata, 2653 nucleotides. It is a transcript of the gene named transmembrane protein 62, with no coding region annotated. NCBI's taxonomy places the organism in Eukaryota, Metazoa, Chordata, Aves, Rheiformes, Rheidae. The record is from RefSeq and is a predicted model, not a curated record. The transcript has 15 exons.
CAUGGUGGCGGCGCGGCGGAGGAUGCAGCGGCUGGCGGCGGGGCUGUUGGCGGCGGCCGCGGUGGCGCUGCUGCUGGACUGGAACGAGCCCUCGGGGGUGCCGGCGACUGCCCACCGGCGGCGGCGGCGGGCCGCGCUGCCUGCGCCCGGGGCGGAGGCGACCAACCUGCUGUGGGCAGUGCAGGUGUCAGAUAUUCAUAUCAGUAGAUUUCGGGAUCCCAAGCGAGCUCCUGACUUCGAAAAAUUCUGUUCUGAAACAAUUGAUAUAAUUCGGCCAGCACUUGUCCUAGCAACAGGUGACUUGACAGAUGCUAAGACAAGAGAUAAAUUGGGGUCUGAGCAGGUAGAAGUAGAGUGGCAAACUUACCAGUCGAUCCUGAAGAGAUCAAGGGUCAUGGAAAAGACCAAGUGGAUAGACAUCAAAGGGAAUCAUGAUUCAUUCAACAUUCCACACCUGGAUAGCAUUCAGAAUUACUACAGGAAAUACUCUGCCUGGCGUAAAGAUGGCUCUUUCCAUUACAUCCACACCACGUCUUUUGGGAACUAUUCCUUCAUCUGCGUGGAUGCUACCCUCAGCCCAGGCCCUAAGAGGCCCUACAAUUUCUUUGGGAUUUUAAACACGAAUCAAAUGAAUGAGCUGUCUUUGAUGGCAACAGAAAGUCUUCACAGCAAUCAUACUGUCUGGUUUGGCCAUUAUCCCACUUCAACAAUCAUCUCUCCAGCUCCAGGAAUAAGAACAUUAAUGAGUUCUGCCACAGCCUAUUUAUGUGGGCAUUUGCAUACACUGGGUGGGCUGAUGCCAGUGUUGCACAGUCAACACCGUCAUGGCACUUUGGAACUGGAGUUGGGAGACUGGAUGGAUAACAGGAGGUACCGAAUCCUUGCAUUUGAUCAUGACCUCCUUAGCUUUGCAGAUCUUAACUUUGAAGAAUGGCCUGUAGUUCUCAUCACCAAUCCCAAAUCUUUCCUUUAUAGCAGCGCUGCUCAUGAACCACUAGAAAAAAUUCUUUACUCAACUCAUAUCAGAAUUCUGGCCUUCUCUCCUUCUUUCAUUACCUCUGUCAAAGUCUGUAUAGAUGGAGUUCACUUGGGGAAUGCUCAUCAGGCAUCUGGCCCUCUCUACACACUGAAGUGGAGCCCGCAAAACUACAGUGAAGGGUUCCAUCACAUAGAGGUGACUGUCCAGGAUGCCUCAGGAAGAAUUAGCACUCGAAGCCAUAUAUUUGCUAUGGAAGAAAAACGCUCUCUUAGAUUUGGCUUUUGGCCAUCUCUUAUUCUUCUUACAGACCACUAUGUUCUAGCCCGUGUGCUCUUUGGGUUGAUUGUGUUGAUUCAGAUCGCCUUGCUUGUAAUCUUCAGAUACCUCCAAAAACCAGCCCUCAAAGAACGGCCAGGAUUACUAAGUUUGACCUCAUUUUCCCUUCAUGUCUUCAGUAAAAUGAAUACCUUUUAUUACUCAAUUCUGGUUCUGAAUUUAUACACCAUUCUAGGACCGUGGUUUGUAGGUGAACUGAUAGAUGGCCAGAUGGGGGCCUGUUUUUCCUUUGGGGUGUUUGUUGGUGGUCACUUCUUACAGGGCAGUCUGACAUUUGUUGUAGGGAUCUUACAGAUGCUGUUUUUCAAUCUGCCGUUGAUGGCCUACCUGUGCUGGUGCCUGUUGCUGCGGUGCCAGGGUUACAGCUUCCAUUCUCACAUCCGUCGCAUCCGACGCCUCUUGACCGUGCUGGUUCACCUGGCCAUGGCACUCCUGCUGCUCUGGCAGGUCUAUUCUUGCUAUUUCCUGCAGCGAACCUAUGGGACACUGGCUUUCUUCCUCUCCCCCAUGAGAACGUGGCUGGUAGCACUGACCUCAGCUCUGAUUUAUAAAACUUGGACAUUGAAGUCUUCUGAGCUCAGAACUUACAUGGUAGAAAUGAAAAACUGUCAGAGCUCCUGAAACAGUCUGAAUAUUCAGAGUUCUUUGACUUAAAACUGUGAAGCCACAACCUGUAGGUCUGUGUUGCUGAAAUUCCAUACAGCCCAACUAUUAAAUGGGCUGUAAUCCCUGGCUCCAAGGACCCAAAUAAGAAUCACAUGCUGUGAAAUGGGGUUGAUGUGUGCAUUAAAUAUGUGUGUGGGAAUUAUUGAAGAAAUUUUGAUAGAAAGUGAGAUGAGCAGGAUCGUCCGCCUGCUCCAAUGUCAUAGUGAAGAGCACAGUGCAGAAACUUAGAACUCUGCCCCGAAUCAGAGGCUCCUCUUAGCUGAUGCACUACAGGUAAUGGCUAUUGCAGUUUUCUGUUGGCUGACAAAAGUAAAAGUUAAUCUUGUCUCAUGUUAAUUUGAAUUUCCUCCUCCUUGCCUUAAAGCCUUUUCCAGUUUACUGAAACUUCAGUAGGAAGAUGUUAACUUUGCUGCUUGAGUGGUACAUUCAUAACACAGGAAGACUCCAUUUAUUUACCAAUACCUUCUUAAAAACCUAAGCUGUUCUUUAAUAGGAUAAAGGACAGAGAUGCAUGAAAUAAGCAAAGAAAGGGGCAAAUCAUGGCCGUGCUGCUAAAGUACUUUACCUAGUGCUGGCAGAUAUUACUACCAUGUGUGACAAAUCUAUCUUUCAUAGUAUAAAUGCUUCUGUUGCAAUAUUCUACUGGAUAUUUUUGUAAUCUGCAUGGAGAAG